Molecule: long non-coding RNA, 392 nt
Organism: Brassica oleracea var. oleracea
Lineage: Eukaryota; Viridiplantae; Streptophyta; Magnoliopsida; Brassicales; Brassicaceae
Exons: 5
Source: RefSeq, a predicted model, not a curated record
AAUCAAGGUCCACUAUCAGUCGUAGGCCUAAGGCAAAGAGGGGCUUGACGUUAAAAGAAACUCAACAAAUGGAGUUCUUCUCUCAGGCUGUUGAUGAGACACUUCUGUUCAUUACAUUCUCACUUACAGCUUUAGGAAGCCAAGAAUGACGUCGAAAUGAAUGAUUUAUAGGAACAUCUGGCUGAAACAUGGAAGACAUUGACAGUAUAUCGAGGAUGAAAGCUUGCUUCAAUUUUUAGAAAGAACGCUGAGGUGGAAACAUCUAGCUCCCAUUGCACUAUCUACACUCACAGUGAUUCGACUAUUGACGCUUUCAACAGUUUCGUCUGCGAAACUGGAGCCGGAAACCAUAUUCUUGGAGCCCUAUUUGUUGAUCUUGAGCCAUUGUUAUU